This 35-nucleotide transfer RNA is filed under the name Synechocystis sp. PCC 6803. RNAcentral's name for it is "trnfM-CAU". The record is from RNAcentral. Lineage: Bacteria; Bacillati; Cyanobacteriota; Cyanophyceae; Synechococcales; Merismopediaceae.
ACGCGGGAUAGAGCAGUCUGGUAGCUCGUCGGGCU